GUGUGUUCACUUCAGCCGCACAUAUACUAAAAUUGGAAUGAUACAGAGAAGAUCAACAUGACCCCUGCACAAGAUGGCAUGCACAUUCUUGAUGCAUUCCAUUUUCUU
Molecule: small nuclear RNA, 108 nt
Organism: Pongo abelii (Sumatran orangutan)
Lineage: Eukaryota; Metazoa; Chordata; Mammalia; Primates; Hominidae
Source: Ensembl